UACGGGGGGGGCAAGCGUUGUUCGGAAUUACUGGGCGUAAAGGGCGCGUAGGCGGCCUGCUAAGUCGGAUGUGAAAUCCCUCGGCUCAACCGAGGAACUGCAUCCGAUACUGGCGGGCUUGAAUCCGGGAGAGGGAUGUGGAAUUCCAGGUGUAGCGGUGAAAUGCGUAGAUAUCGGAAGGAACGCCGGUGGCGAAAGCGACGUGCUGGACCUCUUCUGACGCUGAGGCGCGAAAGCCAGGGGAGCGAACGGG
RNAcentral lists this ribosomal RNA (253 nucleotides) under uncultured bacterium. RNAcentral describes it as "partial 16S ribosomal RNA". It matches the Rfam family "Bacterial small subunit ribosomal RNA", at positions 524 to 776 of the family's 1533-position model. The record is from RNAcentral.